GAUUGCUAAAGAUCGCUUCCUCCCUAUGUGUUAGCGUGAAAGCCGGGCCCAGAGACGUGUUUACCAUACAGCGCAUGCUGCAGAUUUCACAUUGCGACAUGGGCAGCACCAAAAAAAGAGCCAUCGCAGGAUUGCGUCAAGAAGAUAUCUAUAGCUGAGCUGGGAAAUCCUGUCGCUGGGACCAGAGUAUCAACCGGCAAUCGUAUCUUGUUGGCUGGAUUAAAAUUUAUUACUGGCAAAUAGAAAAGUAAUAUUACUCGUGCUAUUACUGAUUUUUGAGGAUAAUUGUUGAUCUCUGUGUUCUCAAGGCAGGGUGACUGGAAACCUCAAACCUUGGGUGAGCAACAGCGGUUUAGCUCCUCCCCCACUUGUCCGUGCCCCGUCGUUCAUUGGUCGUUGCCACAGGCCAGAGCCACGGAUUGGUGCAGACAGAGGAUGACGGGUAGCGGGCGGCCAGCGGGGGCUGUCGGUCCGCUGCUUCGCCCACUCCGUCCCGGUCACCCCAGGGCCACCAUUUGCGGGUUCGGCUGUGACCUCACGGCUCGGUGCAGCUGUCACAUCGCAUCAGGCUGACAUGGACAGUCGACGCUAACAAUGUAAUUUCCCAAAGUGUUGUGGAAGCUCUGCAUGACAGAGUCAUAGUACAGCUUGGAAAAGGCUUCAGAAUGGGCGUCAGGAAUUAUGAUAGAUGGGGCUGGGAAAAAAAGACUCAAAUUUAAUAUGAGAAAAAAUACAUUCAAGUAUCUAAAAUGCAGUCGCCUUUGCAGAA
Paramormyrops kingsleyae is the source of this 769-nucleotide long non-coding RNA. RefSeq lists it as uncharacterized. The record is from RefSeq and is a predicted model, not a curated record. Lineage: Eukaryota; Metazoa; Chordata; Actinopteri; Osteoglossiformes; Mormyridae.